Long non-coding RNA from Bombus impatiens (common eastern bumble bee), 599 nucleotides. RefSeq lists it as uncharacterized. NCBI's taxonomy places the organism in Eukaryota, Metazoa, Arthropoda, Insecta, Hymenoptera, Apidae. The record is from RefSeq and is a predicted model, not a curated record. The transcript is spliced from 2 exons.
GGUGCUCGUUGGAGCAGCGGACAAAGGAUCGUAAGCGAGGGUUGUUUCCUGGUGAAGAAAACGAUGGCGCGACGAGAACAAAAAUACGAGACAACGAAGAACGGCACGUGGGAACCGGAUAGAGGCACGUGCCUCGGGUUUCGACAACUCCUGGUGAGCGGCGGACUAUUUCCGCGUGACGAGGAAAUUGUUCUCCGACCGCCCUGACGCCGCGGGAGGCGACUCGCAGAGGUUCGUCGCGCCCUCGCAGCGGGUGAUGGACCUCGCGUGGUCUUACGCUCGUCUUUUCGGACUACGAUUGACUACGAAGUUUAAAACGACUCGGAAAUUCACCCGGUGAUGAUAAUCUCUGCGAGUCACUGAGAAAAAUGAUCCACUGCCGAUCAAGACUGCGGAGAAUUUGGAUCUAAGAGGAGUUUCAGUUUUUAGGGUUGAAAGAGGAUUGAUGAAGAAUGGAAUUUUGGUUUUUCUAUUGAUUUACUUAUUUUCUUUGCGUUGCACAUAAAUAAACUAAGAAUGUUUAUGGAUGCAUAUACUGAAAUUUAGUGUACCAAAUGCGCGUAAUAUGCAAAAAUAGUAUAGACACACAUAGUUAUUUA